CUCUCUAAUUAUUCCUCUCAAACCUUUUUAGUCUUUAUUGUCUGAACCAUUUCCAACUAAAAAUAUAUAUUAAUAAUAAAUCAUAUAUAAUUUUUUUAAUUAAUUAAAAUAUAUAAGAAAAAAUAAAUAUAAAAUUAAAAAAAAAUAGAAAUGGAAUCAUAUUUUUCGAGUUGUAUACAAUUAAUUUAUUAUGAAUUUUUUGAAGAAAAAUAACUUUAAAAUUAUUUCACGAUGAGUACAUAAGGGCA
Molecule: long non-coding RNA, 248 nt
Filed under: Elaeis guineensis (African oil palm)
Lineage: Eukaryota; Viridiplantae; Streptophyta; Magnoliopsida; Arecales; Arecaceae
Description: long non-coding RNA (EGUI_LNC031760)
Source: RNAcentral